CCUGCGGAAGGAUCAUUAAUGAAUUCACUAUGGAGUUGUUGCUGGCCUCUAGGGGCAUGUGCACGCUUCACUAGUCUUUCAACCACCUGUGAACUUUUGAUAGAUCUGUGAAGUCGUCUUUCAAGUCGUCAGACUUGGUUUGCUGGGAUUUAAACGUCUCGGUGUGACAACGCAGUCUAUUUACUUACACACCCCAAAUGUAUGUCUACGAAUGUCAUUUAAUGGGCCUUGUGCCUUUAAACCAUAAUACAACUUUCAACAACGGAUCUCUUGGCUCUCGCAUCGAUGAAGAACGCAGCGAAAUGCGAUAAGUAAUGUGAAUUGCAGAAUUCAGUGAAUCAUCGAAUCUUUGAACGCACCUUGCGCCCCUUGGUAUUCCGAGGGGCAUGCCUGUUUGAGUGUCAUUAAAUUCUCAAACUCACUUUGGUUUUUUCCAAUUGUGAUGUUUGGAUUGUUGGGGGCUGCUGGCCUUGACAGGUCGGCUCCUCUUAAAUGCAUUAGCAGGACUUCUCAUUGCCUCUGCGCAUGAUGUGAUAAUUAUCACUCAUCAAUAGCACGCAUGAAUAGAGUCCAGCUCUCUAAUCGUCCGCAAGGACAAUUUGACAAUUUGACCUC
RNAcentral lists this ribosomal RNA (615 nucleotides) under Pleurotus ostreatus (oyster mushroom). Its description in RNAcentral is "eukaryotic LSU rRNA". The stretch from base 251 to 404 matches the Rfam family "5.8S ribosomal RNA". Lineage: Eukaryota; Fungi; Basidiomycota; Agaricomycetes; Agaricales; Pleurotaceae. The record is from RNAcentral.